ACGAACGCUGGCGGCGUGCUUAACACAUUCACGUCGAACGGAAAGGCCCUGCUUUUGUGGGGUGCUCGGGUGGCGAACGGGGGAGUAACACGUGAGUAACCUGCCCUUGACUUUGGGAUAACUUCAGGAAACUGGGGCUAAUACCGGAUAGGAGCUCCUGCUGCAUGGUGGGGGUUGGAAAGUUUCGGCGGUUGGGGAUGGACUCGCGGCUUAUCAGCUUGUUGGUGGGGUAGUGGCUUACCAAGGCCUUGACGGGUAGCCGGCCUGAGAGGGUGACCGGCCACAUUGGGACUGAGAUACGGCCCAGACUCCUACGGGAGGCAGCAGUGGGGAAUAUUGCACAAUGGGCGGAAGCCUGAUGCAGCAACGCCGCGUGCGGGAUGACGGCCUUCGGGUUGUAAACCGCUUUCGCCUGUGACGAAGCGUGAGUGACGGUAAUGGGUAAAGAAGCACCGGCUAACUACGUG
This 467-nucleotide ribosomal RNA is filed under the name uncultured bacterium. RNAcentral's name for it is "partial 16S ribosomal RNA". It matches the Rfam family "Bacterial small subunit ribosomal RNA", at positions 29 to 507 of the family's 1533-position model. The record is from RNAcentral.